GACAGAGGUCUCAAGCGUUAGGCGGAAUCACUGGGCUUAAAGCGUGUGUAGGCGGAUCGUUAAGUGCUUUGUGAAAUCCCACAGCUCAACUGUGGAACUGCUUGGCAUACUGGCGGUCUUGAGCCAUCUAGGGGUCGCUGGAACAAACGGUGGAGCGGUGAAAUGCGUAGAUAUCGCUUGGAACGCCAACGGUGAAAACAGGUUGCUGGGGGUGUGCUGACGCUGAGACACGAAAGCCAGGGGAGCGAACGGG
This 253-nucleotide ribosomal RNA is filed under the name uncultured bacterium. RNAcentral describes it as "partial 16S ribosomal RNA". It matches the Rfam family "Bacterial small subunit ribosomal RNA", at positions 524 to 776 of the family's 1533-position model. The record is from RNAcentral.